RNAcentral lists this ribosomal RNA (399 nucleotides) under uncultured Paenibacillus sp. RNAcentral describes it as "bacterial SSU rRNA". It matches the Rfam family "Bacterial small subunit ribosomal RNA", at positions 983 to 1382 of the family's 1533-position model. Lineage: Bacteria; Bacillati; Bacillota; Bacilli; Caryophanales; Paenibacillaceae. The record is from RNAcentral.
GACAUCCCGAUGCUAUUUCUAGAGAUAGAAAGUUACUUCGGUACAUCGGUGACAGGUGGUGCAUGGUUGUCGUCAGCUCGUGUCGUGAGAUGUUGGGUUAAGUCCCGCAACGAGCGCAACCCCUGUGGUUAGUUGCCAGCAAGUAGCGUUGGGCACUCUAGCCAGACUGCCGGUGAUAAAUCGGAGGAAGUGGGGACGACGUCAAAUCAUCAUGCCCUUUAUGUCCUGGGCUACACACGUACUACAAUGGCCGUUACAACGGGAAGCGAAGGAGCAAUCCGGAGCAAAUCCCUUAAAGGCGGUCCCAGUUCAGAUUGUGGGCUGAAACUCGCCCACAUGAAGGCGGAAUUGCUAGUAAUUGCAGAUCAGCAUGGCGCGGUGAAUACGUUCCCGGGCCUU